GGGGGUGAUCGGUUUCGACAUUGGUCGGCAUUUCAGGGGAAGCGGGUCGAGGAUGCCUGGUUAUCUCGUUAACGCUCCCGGCAAACCAAUAGGUGCCAAUUCCAAGCGCACCGACUUCGCCCUCGCCGCCUGAGCGAGCCUCGAAGUCCGUCAGCCUGAGCUAGUUCUCGUCUCAGUGUCUGGCGUCAGCUAGAGAACUUGCUGCGCAGCCAUGUCGGGGGGCUGCGCGGGACUCCUACUCGACUGGGCCUGUCAGCGGACGUGUGCGUGCGAGCGCUGGGGCCGAGAAAAUCCGCAGCGCACUGCACCCGGAGAAGCCCUGGUUUCCCGUCAAUGGACGCGGGUUCAAUUCCCGCCACCUCCACCA
This 367-nucleotide transfer-messenger RNA is filed under the name Salmonella enterica subsp. enterica serovar Javiana. It matches the Rfam family "transfer-messenger RNA". Rfam says of the family: Bacterial tmRNA, also known as 10Sa RNA or SsrA, is named for its dual tRNA and mRNA-like properties. Lineage: Bacteria; Pseudomonadati; Pseudomonadota; Gammaproteobacteria; Enterobacterales; Enterobacteriaceae. The record is from RNAcentral.